GUAGUCGUGGCCGAGUGGUUAAGGUGAUGGACUUGAAAUCCAUUGGGGUCUCCCUGUGCAGGUUUGAAUCCUGCCGACUACG
RNAcentral lists this transfer RNA (82 nucleotides) under Danio rerio (zebrafish). RNAcentral's name for it is "tRNA-Ser (TGA) (tRNA-Ser-TGA-68-1)". It matches the Rfam family "tRNA". Rfam says of the family: Transfer RNA (tRNA) molecules are approximately 80 nucleotides in length. Their secondary structure includes four short double-helical elements and three loops (D, anti-codon, and T loops). Lineage: Eukaryota; Metazoa; Chordata; Actinopteri; Cypriniformes; Danionidae. The record is from Rfam by way of RNAcentral.